Molecule: long non-coding RNA, 239 nt
Filed under: Salvia miltiorrhiza (redroot sage)
Lineage: Eukaryota; Viridiplantae; Streptophyta; Magnoliopsida; Lamiales; Lamiaceae
Description: long non-coding RNA (SMIL_LNC002888)
Source: RNAcentral
GGUCCAGAUUUAAAUUCUUUAGUUGAUAAUCUGAGAUUUAGGUUUCUAUUUUGGUUAUAAAUAUAACUAACUGCUCAAAUCUUCAUUCCUGAUUUUGUUUAUUGAGUGGGUAUGGAUGAAGUAAUUCAGAGGUCGUUUGCGUUGAUUUUGAGUAUUUCGGGUUAAAAGGAUCGAGUGAGAUCAAGUAAUGGAUUUCUGUUUAUGUUAAUAUUUUAUUUCUUAGUAUAAUAUUUUGGGGU